RNAcentral lists this ribosomal RNA (167 nucleotides) under Cynoglossus puncticeps (speckled tonguesole). RNAcentral describes it as "partial small subunit ribosomal RNA". Lineage: Eukaryota; Metazoa; Chordata; Actinopteri; Pleuronectiformes; Cynoglossidae. The record is from RNAcentral.
AACCGCGGUUAUACGAAAGGCCUAAGUUGAUGAACUACGGCGUAAAGAGUGGUUAGGGUGACAUAUUACUAAAGUUAAACCUCCUCUCAGCCGUUUCAAGCUUAUGAGGAUGAGAGAUACGUCCACGAAAGUGACUUUACAAACCUGAUUCCACGAAAGCUAGGAUA